This is a long non-coding RNA of Melozone crissalis (California towhee), 1872 nucleotides long. RefSeq lists it as uncharacterized. NCBI's taxonomy places the organism in Eukaryota, Metazoa, Chordata, Aves, Passeriformes, Passerellidae. The record is from RefSeq and is a predicted model, not a curated record. The transcript has 2 exons.
CCCCGGGCGCUCUCGGCGCGGAGCCGCCGGGCAACGAACGGGAGCGAGUCCGGGGAGGCAGGCCCGGUCACCGGCAGCGACCAUCAGAGCACGGGGAAAACUCGGAGUGAUGCUCGGAGUGGGUGGAGUGCAGUCCACAGAGGGCGUCCCUCAUCCCCCGUGGAUUCUGCUCUGCAUCUCUCCGGCUGCGGAACUCUCGUGCUGUGGUGCCGAGCAGUAAGCCCAGCCCGUGAAGAUGCUGAAAAUGAGUUUGUAACCCGGGGGUUGUUCUGGAGGGAAUUGCAACAGCAUUGUGUCAGGAAAGAGGAUGCGGGGGCGUGUCAAAGCGUGUAUUUUACAGUCCAUAAAAAGUAGAAGGAAGGCUUAUUAGUGUUAAAUUCUUACUAAAUGAACAGACCGAAAGCUGAACGUUAACAUGAAGGGAAAGUUUCUCACUGCUGAGAAGCAGAAAUUCAUUACUCCUGGACCCUCAUUGUUACAUUUACAAAGCUCAUCAUCGGCCGCAGGGCUGGUACGUGAUAAUCCAAUGCUUUGAGAAUUAGUAAGGUAUUUAAAUUGUGAUAUAGCCCACUGAUGGAUGAACUGUAUUAUUAGCUAUUUCAUUGACUGACUGACUAUACUUACAAGAACUUUUGCCUUAUUCCAGGAUAUGAGGUGCCUAAAGGAUAGAAUAAGCUCCCAAGAUAAUAGAAUAACAAAACUGAAACACAUUAGUGGAAGAUACCAACUACUAAAGUAAAAUGACUCAAAAGUGUUUUAAUGGCAUAAGUUUCUACACAAAAGGCAGCAUUGACAAAACAAGGAGUAAUAGUUAAAAUAACAAACAAUUUAUAAUGACCUUUUUUUAGGAGCUCAUGAUUUUUUAAAAAAAACCUCAUGAUUUUGACAGAAAUUGUACAGGCUGGCCUGAUUGAAAGCAGUGCUGUUGUUGGUACUAUAGUAGAUUUGGAGAUGGCUGUUUGACUUAGUUUGGUGGACAAGAAAACAAUCUUUUCUUCUAGCUAAAAAAAUCCUGUAACCUUUUUUGUUUUUGAAACAUCAAGAGUCCAAAAGUCUCACACUUGGCAAUGGUAGAGUCUGAUGAGGCAUAUCCCUCAUGUGAAAGCCAAAUUGUACUUUAUUUCAGAACUAAGGGGACAAAGCCUUGCAUGUUUGAGCGCAAUUGCACCAAAAUAUCAAGAUACCAUAUUUGUGCCAUCAUGCUGCCAUCCAGCCUCAGCUUUUCCACAGCUUUGAGUUACAGCUGAAGCACCUCAGGAGUCCUGGCAGUGACAAGGAGCACCUGAUAGCCAACAGCUGUGUCAGCCCCCUCUAGCUCUUGGGGCAGUGAGCCUGGGUCUGGAGCAAACCUUGUUGUAUCAAAUCAAAGUUAAUGUUGUCAUCUUACAAAUCUGAGCCAAGGUGUCUAUAUUGUUUAGGGUCCAUGCUCUCAGUUCACUUGGCUGACAGCAAGAGCCCUGUGUUACUGAGAAACUUUUCUGGAAGAAUUGGGUAUUUGGUAUAAUCCCAGCUGCUUUUGAGUGUGCUGGUGUAUAAUGCACUGUAAAUGUUUCCAGCAACAUACAAAAAAUUUUGAAAAUAAGAUCAAUUUUAUUAUAUUGCAGGCUGCUAUUGCACAGUCUGUACUCUUCAGCUGACCACUAAUGCUACUCUUUGACCUGCAAUUCAAGAGUACAUUUUCAAUGUCCUGUCUUUCUCAGUAUUUAAACUCAGCUCAUUUUUGUGUUCGUUUAGUGUCAAUAUCUGCUCUAUUUCCAGUCCUGUGUGCUUAGUCUCAUCAACUAUUGAGCUAAUACAUUGUUUGGAACAGAAAUCAAGGUAUUUUCCUUUUGCACCAGUAAAACUGAUAAAGAUGUAAACUCUUUCCUCACA